UUGAUGAUAAUAAAAAAAAUUUUUUUCUCAUUAAUCAUUUAAUGUGAAGAUAUUUAUCAUCAUUUUUUUGAUCAUAAAAAUUGCGUCAUACACAACACAUUGAUUAUCAGGUCCAGCUGUUUUUUCUGGUUUUUGAUAAUAACGGCAAAUACAGAAAAAAAACACCUCUUUCAUACGUCGAAAUAUAAACCGAAAUAGACAUAUAGAGAAAAGAAAAACCAGAAGCAUUAAACUCUGUCGCAAACAUUCAAAAAAAAAAAAAAAAAAAAUUUCUUAUCACAUUUCCUUAUGAUUUAAAAAUUGGAUGAUCAAAUUUUUUUUUCUGUUAUCACUCUCAUCAUGUCAACAAUGACAACUGUGCCUGUAAAUUCUUCAAAUACAUCAUCAA
Non-coding RNA from Dermatophagoides farinae (American house dust mite), 388 nucleotides. The record is from RefSeq and is a predicted model, not a curated record. NCBI's taxonomy places the organism in Eukaryota, Metazoa, Arthropoda, Arachnida, Sarcoptiformes, Pyroglyphidae.